AAAUAAAUCUUUCUAUUUCAUCAGUGAAACAAAUUUCAAUUUUUAUGGUAGAUUUUUUUAAAAUGAAUGAAAGUAUAUUUAGAAAGUGAAAAGGAAGUUUUAGAAUUUCCUCUUUCUUCUUCCCUGUUUUUUUUUUUUUUGUUGUUGUUGUUGUUUGUUUCUUAAUAGUCCUGAAAUGGAAAGAAACUGUGUUCCAAAGAGGAGGACUAUGCUGGACCUGAAGCUAUACUUGCAAUUUUCCCAUUCUUGGCCAUUGUUGAUUAUAUCUCCAUGUAAAGACGCUUUUUUCUCUACCUUGAUGUUCCACACGCUUGCAUCUCAUUUGAAAAAGAAAAGGUCAAAAGCUAAAUGUGUACCAUCUUGGAGGUGAACUGCCUACCACGGUUGUCCCUGUCAGGGCUGCAGGGCACGGUGCAUCUCAGGUAUUCAGGGCCCUCUACUCCCUGUCUUCCCUCUGGCCAGGCACAACCCAGUGGCCAGGCUCAGCUGACCACUGGGACCCAGCUUUGGAAGUGGAGGAAGCUCAGAGCUGAGCUGUAAAGCUGUUCUCCAAGACCAUGCUGGCUGCUGACUCAAUCAGGUAUCUGGGCAACCCCACAAGGUCUUAGAAGAAUGGGUUCCUAUGGAGAGAAAACACAUGGAUGCUGUCUGGGCCUUCUGGAGACUAAAACACGGGAUGAUCCUACGGGAAAAAAACAUUCCGAAGAGUAAGGGGUAAAUGGGGUGCUAGGAUGAUGAACAGCCAUAACUAAAGACGAGGCUCAAAAAUAAAAAGGAAUAUAGGGAUCCCUGGGUGGCGCAGCGGUUUGGCGCCUGCCUUUGGCCCAGGGCGCGAUCCUGGAGACCCGGGAUCGAAUCCCACGUCGGGCUCCCGGUGCAUGGAGCUUGCUUCUCCCUCUGCCUGUGUCUCUGCCUCUCUCUCUCUCUCUCUCUCUCUCUCUCUGUGUGUGACUAUCAUAAAUAAAUAAAGAUUAAAAAAAAAAAGGAAUAUAAAAAUCCAAGAGAAAUUAAAGUUAGAGAUAAAAAUAACUGAAGCAAGAACUGAAUGCUAACAAAACAGACAAACGUUACAAGAAAAAGGUUUUCAGAAAGGAGGUGCAAGGGAAGUGGAGUGGGAGCCCCGCAAGGAAGGAAGCACACGCAUGGGAGAAGCAAAGGAGAAGCAUGAAGAGGCCUUUUCCUGAGCACACAGGCCGGGGGACUGCAGGGCUGUGACCCAACUCUCUCUCUGAACUGAUGAAUUCCUACGAUUGGGAUUGGUUGUGUCUUGUUUUAUAGGUCACAGCUCAUAGUAACUUGUAAACACUUGUAAAUACGAUAUUUUUCAUUAUUUUGAAAUAAAGCGCUCCCAAAUGCAAAUCGUCCCAGAUGAGCAAAUCUUCCCCCGAAACCAAAAAUCUUCAAUUUGUUCCAACUACGCAGGACCUAAGAAACACCUGUUUAGAGUGUAAUUGGGGUGUCUAUUUGGGACAAAUAGGGACUCUCUGGGGAAAGUAAAAGGGGAGAGAGGCUGGUUCCAGCCCUGCCAAGCUCAGUAGCUUUGGGCAUUGAUUGGAGCCCCGAGCUGUGCUUUAAAAUAGACAGAAGCAGGGCACCUGGGUGGCUCAGUGGUUGAGCAUCAGCCUUUGGCUCAGGUCGUGAUCCUGGGGUUCUGGAAUCGAGUCCCCCAUUGGGCUCCCCAGAGGGAGCCUGCUUCUCCCUCUGCCUAUGUCUCUGCCUCUCCUUCUGUGUCUCUCAUGAAUAAAUAAACAAAAUCUAAAAAAAUCAAAUAAAAUAGACAGAAGCUAGUGUGUGAGAUUCAAGCCUUCUCUAGAAAUGUGUUUACAAAACACUUGCUAGGGUUCAGAUGUUGCCACAAGAAAAGCUCUCUUUGCAGAAACUUAACCUCCUAUUUCCAGUUCCUCAGCUGUUCCCCAAAGCCCUUGUCCUCCACCCAGGGCACCCACAUGCAGGCUGACUGCUCAAGAACCCCUGUGAUUGGAGACAGCUUCCUUCACAGGAGAUGGCAGCAGCAAGCAGAGAUUGGGUAAGCAAACCUGGUGAGCCCCCUUAAUUAGCUUCUUUGUUUGUAUAAAUAUUGCCCCUUGGCCCUACUUACCAAUCCGCAGCCAUGAUGUGGCCUAAUCACAACCAUCAAUGGGGCCUGGGGCAGCCACCUCCUGCUCCUGCAAAGAGGGCUAUUUACAGUGGCCUUUGCAGGCAAUCCAUCUCCUUAGCAGUGGAAAGUCUCUGCAGCUCACGGUAGUCACUGGCUGUGAGCAAGGAAGCCCUUAGUGGUCAAUAGCAUUGGGCCUUCAGCGGCCCUGGCAGCAGCUCAGGGCUGUAGAUUAUGCACAAUUAAGAAAAUGCAUCUGUGUGAAACAAGGAGCAGCCCACAGGCCUGGGGACCAAGUCAGCAUGUCCUUGGCAUUUACUAGGUCCAGAUGUCUUUAUCUUCUGGGCAGGAAGUCAGAGUCUGUCCAGAUGGCAUCUUGAUUGCUUUCAGCCCAGCUGAUUAAAUUUCUAGGGCUGACAUCUCUU
RNAcentral lists this long non-coding RNA (2520 nucleotides) under Canis lupus familiaris (dog). RNAcentral describes it as "lncRNA (ENSCAFG00030003066.1)". The record is from RNAcentral. Lineage: Eukaryota; Metazoa; Chordata; Mammalia; Carnivora; Canidae.